UGCGCCUUGCCAGCCCGCUCAGAAACUCAAAUGAAUUGACGGGGGCCCGCACAAGCGGAGGAGCAUGUGGUUUAAUUCGAUGAUACGCGAGGAACCUUACCUGGGCUCGAACGUAAGAUGACUGUAGGUGAAAGCUUACAUCUCUUCGGAGCAUUUUACGAGGUGCUGCAUGGUUGUCGUCAGCUCGUGCCGUGAGGUGUCGGGUUAAGUCCCAUAACGAGCGCAACCCCUACCUUUAGUUGCCAUCAGGUUAAGCUGGGGACUCUAAAGGAACUGCCUACGCAAGUAGUGAGGAAGGCGGGGAUGACGUCAAGUCAUCAUGGCCCUUACGGCCUGGGCUACACACGUGCUACAAUGGUCGGUACAAAGGGUUGCCAAGCCGCGAGGUGGAGCUAAUCCCAUAAAACCGAUCGUAGUCCGGAUCGCAGUCUGCAACUCGACUGCGUGAAGUCGGAAUCGCUAGUAAUCGUGAAUCAGAAUGUCACGGUGAAUACGUUCCCGGGCCUU
This 507-nucleotide ribosomal RNA is filed under the name uncultured Sphingobacteriales bacterium. RNAcentral describes it as "bacterial SSU rRNA". It matches the Rfam family "Bacterial small subunit ribosomal RNA", at positions 903 to 1382 of the family's 1533-position model. Lineage: Bacteria; Pseudomonadati; Bacteroidota; Sphingobacteriia; Sphingobacteriales. The record is from RNAcentral.